GGAGGGUAUAGCUCAGUGGUAGAGCACAUGCUUAGCAUGCAUGAGGUUCUGGGUUCAAUCCCCGGUACCUCCA
This 73-nucleotide transfer RNA is filed under the name Vicugna pacos (alpaca). RNAcentral's name for it is "tRNA-Ala (AGC) (tRNA-Ala-AGC-411-1)". It matches the Rfam family "tRNA". Rfam says of the family: Transfer RNA (tRNA) molecules are approximately 80 nucleotides in length. Their secondary structure includes four short double-helical elements and three loops (D, anti-codon, and T loops). Lineage: Eukaryota; Metazoa; Chordata; Mammalia; Artiodactyla; Camelidae. The record is from RNAcentral.